GGGGAGACUAAUUUGUCUCUUCUGACUGUGUUUUUUUUGCUUUUUAACAUGCCUUGUAAUUUUUUUGAUGAUACCCAGUUAUGAUGUAUCGGUACAAGGAACUGAGGCUGGAGUACAGUGGCAUGAUCAUGGCUCACUGCAGCUUUGACCUCCCAGGCUCAAGCAAUCCUCCCUCCUCAGCCUCUUGAGUAGCUGAGACUACAGAUAUGCACCACCAUGCCCAGACAUCCUCACUCCUGGUUGCUGCGCCUGCAAACUCCAUCAAGACCCUUGGCUGUCCCAGUUCUCAGGCCUGCGGGUUUGGACUGGAACUUCACCACUGGCUGUCCUGGGCCUCCAGCUUGCAAACGGCAGAUUACGGGAUUUCUCAGCUUCCAUAAUCACGUUUGGAGGCUGGGAAGUCCAAGAUCAAGCCAGUGACACAUACAGUGUCUGGGGAGAGCCUGCUUCUUGGUUCAUUGGCUCCAUCUUCUCACUGUGUCCUUACAUGGUGGAAGAGACAAGAUAAUUCUCUGGAGUACCACUUACAGAAUCACCUUAUAGUAGGGCACUAACCCCAUUCAGGAGGGCUGUGAUCUCAUGAUCUAGUCAUCUUCUGAUAUGGUUUGGAUCUGUGUCCUUGCCCAAAUCUCAUGUGGAAUUGUAAUCCCCAAUGUUGGAGGUGGGGCCUGUUGGAAGGUGACUGGAUCAUGGGGGCAGAAUUCCCAUGACGGUUUUAUACUAUCCCUGUUGGUGCUGUUCUCCUGAUAGUGAGCGAGUUCUCAUGAAAUACGGUUGUUUAAAAGUGUGUAGCAUCCCCUCUGCCUCUUGUUCCUGCUGCCAACACGUAAGACGUGCCUGCUUCCCCUUUGCCUGCCACUGUGAUUGUAAGUUUCCUGAGGCCUCCCUAGAAUCACGAGUUGCUAUGUUUCCUGUAGAACCCGCAGAUUUGUGAGCGAAUUAAACCUCUUUUCUUUAUAAAUUACCCAGUCUCAGGUAUUUGUUUAUAGCAAUGCAAGAACGGACUAAUACACUUCCCAAAGGCCCCCCCCCAAUGCCACCUCCUUGGGGGUCAGGUUUUCAGUGUAUGAAUUUUGGAGGGACACAAACAUUUAGAACAUAACCAGUUCUCAUAACAUAAACAGAGUCCUUUUUGUGUCACUUUUUUGCAUCGUUGUGCUUUUUGUUGGUGAUUUUACUGUUUAAAAUGGCUCCCCAGCAGAGUGCUGCGUGCUGUUCAGUGUUCCUAGGCACAAAAAGGCUGUGUGACAUAACUUCCAGGGAAAAUACAAGUGUUAGAUAAGCUUUAUUUAGGCAUGAGUUACAGGGCUGUUAACCAUGAGUUCAAUGUUGAUAAAUCAACAAUGUACGUUAAAUAAGAAAUAAGGUGUCUUUAUACAGAAACACACACAAAAAAGGGUUAUAUCGUGAUUAGUUGAUAAAAAUGUGACCGGGUCUUGCAGGAACGUAUAACUCUGUGUUUCCCCUAGGAGAAUUAUUUGGUAAUUCAGUGUUUGUGGUGACUUUAUAGAACAUAACUACCAUGAAUUGUGAGAAUCAACUGUAUUUGUUUUUUGAAAAUUAAACACAAAUGCUUUC
Macaca fascicularis (crab-eating macaque) is the source of this 1578-nucleotide long non-coding RNA. The record is from Ensembl. Lineage: Eukaryota; Metazoa; Chordata; Mammalia; Primates; Cercopithecidae.